AGAGGGAGCCUGAGAGACGGCUACCAGGUCCAAGGACGGCAGCAGGCGCGAAAAUUACCGAAGCUCAAAAAGAGGCGGUAGUAAUGAGACGUAAAAAAUUAAUACAAGGGUAAAAAACUUGUUAAUAACUGGAGGUAAAGUCUGGUGCCAGCAUCCGCGGUAAUACCAGCUCCAGGGGUGUCUAUGAUGAUUGCUGCGAUUAAAAGGUCCGUAGUCGAAAAUAGAUAAUUGUUUGUAAGAUGUUAUCUAAAAUAAUAGAAAGAACAAUUACCUAAUUGAAAGGAAUAGCAAGAGGCUGAUUAAUCGAGUAACGAGAGGUGAAAUUUGAUGACUUACUUGGGAGAAACAGAGGCGAAAGCGUCAGUCAAGUGUAAAUCCGAUGAUCAAGGACGUAGGCUGGAGUAUCGAACACGAUUAGAUACCGUAGUAGUUCCAGCAGUAAACUAUGCCUACGCCGUUGAAUGAAAGUUUGGCGGACGAGAAAUUUAGAGUAGGGCUUUGGGGAGAGUACACGCGCAAGCGAUAAAUUUAAAGGAAAUU
This 540-nucleotide ribosomal RNA is filed under the name Microsporidium sp. BCYA2 CYA2. RNAcentral's name for it is "SSU rRNA". It matches the Rfam family "Microsporidia small subunit ribosomal RNA", at positions 246 to 788 of the family's 1311-position model. Lineage: Eukaryota; Fungi; Microsporidia. The record is from RNAcentral.